GGAAACGAAAAUGUAGGCAUAAGUAACGAUAAAAGGGGCGAGAAACCCCUUCGCCGAAAAACCCAGGUUUCCCCGGCCAUGCUAAUCAGCCGGGGGUCAGUCGGGACCUAACACGAACCCGGAAGGGGCAGUGGAUGGGCAACGGGUCAACAUUCCCGUACCCGCAUAUCGAUAAAAGUGACGGGGCAACUUAGUUGGUGCGUGCUGACGGAAUAGCACGUUGAAGCGCAAGCGAUAGUACACCAAGGCCACGGCCGCGGUGAUAAUCCAGCGGCGUUGCCUCCAAGAAAAGCGAGAUAUGCGGCCCGUACCGUAAACCGACACAGGUGGUCGGGAUGAGAAUUCUAAGGCGCUCGAGAGAUUCAUGGUCAAGGAACUAGGCAAAAUGGACGCGUAACUUCGGGAGAAGCGUCGCUCCCUUUCGGGGGAGCCGCAGUGAACUGGUCCAGGCGACUGUUUAUCAAAAACACAGGGCUCUGC
This 480-nucleotide ribosomal RNA is filed under the name Durinskia baltica. Its description in RNAcentral is "partial Bacterial large subunit ribosomal RNA". It matches the Rfam family "Bacterial large subunit ribosomal RNA", at positions 1284 to 1826 of the family's 2925-position model. The record is from RNAcentral. Lineage: Eukaryota; Dinophyceae; Peridiniales; Kryptoperidiniaceae.